RNAcentral lists this long non-coding RNA (9803 nucleotides) under Lynx pardinus (Iberian lynx). Lineage: Eukaryota; Metazoa; Chordata; Mammalia; Carnivora; Felidae. The record is from RNAcentral.
CGGGGCUGGUCCGGCCUUGCUGUCUUUCCCCUGGCAGUUCUCAAGUCCAGGGGGAGGGGUCCUGGGCCAACUGGGGUCUGCCAGGCCAUCCCCGCAGCCCUACUCCACCCCACCCCACAGAGACCCCUGCCUCCCAUCUGAGAGGACAGCUCUCUUCCCGGAGCUGGGAUCUGACGCUUGCUGGUGCCAACAGCAGAUACCAGGUAGGCCCCCUCCCUGUUCUGGGCACCUUCUCUCCCCCCUGAAUUCCUAAAGCACGGCCCAUACAACCCUCCUCACCCUGAAACCCUCCUCACCCUGGAUAAGGCCACAUUGGCUUAAUCCAAUCAUGACCUCGCAAAACUUCAAGACUGGAAAGGGUGUCUCAGCCAACCCACCCAUUUGGUGGAUGGAGACACUGAGGUCCCCAGGGUAGUAGCAGCUGGCUGUAGGCUGCACCACAGACCUUAGGGCCCUCACUGAGCCCCAGAGGGUGGAAGGAACAUGCUCAAAGCCACACAGUGGUGGGGGGAGGGGGGAGCUUUGCCUUAACAAGAAGACCGCAAGCUCUGUGAGGACACUGGUGCUUCAUCACAACCCUCAAGGGCCCUGGAAACACCUCCUGGGGACCGUGGAUGGUGGAGCGUUCGUUCCCUCAAUCACUGAUGGCCACUGGGUUGCCACGGGAGUACUUCCGAGAGGAAGAUGAGGGAACUCAGGGCUGAAGGCCAGCAGAUUUGGAAGGAAACAAACUUCGUGUGGUUAACUGAUAACUGGCCCCAUCCUUGGGCCCCCAGAAGCCUCCUUCCUCCCUCUUCUCAGCACGAUUAAGACGAAAUUACCUGCCUGCUAAUCAUUGCUGAGCCUGUUGAUUUUGCCUUAAAAAAUUAACUGGGCAUGAGUUUGUGGUUUGCCUCACCCCUAACCCUGAAAAGGCCUGGGUGGGCAGGAGGCCACCCGGGUUAUGCAAGAGGCUGCUGGCCUCCCCACGCACAUCCAGCGCCUCCUCUCCUGCUCUCCAAAGACUAGGUUUUGCUCAAGAGUCAACAGUCUGCUUGUUCCCUCUGCUCUGGGUCCUGAGCAAAUUUGCUCUUUUACCAAAGAGAGAUAAAGGCAGCUGGGGGGGGAGGGGGGGCUUUACAAACAGGGAUGCAGGGCGGCAGCUUUGAGCAUGGGAUUCUAGAAUCCUGCAGUGUCAGAGGCUGGAGAGUGCGGGCCAGAGCCUUUCAAAUGGGAUCUGAGGUUCCUAGGAGCCAAGGGAGGGUACGCACAGGCCCGCUUCACCCAGGGCCUGCCUCUUAGAUGCUCUCCCAUUAAUACUUCCUUUGAAAGGUAGAGGCAGAGCCGGUGUUGGGAACCUGAAAGAUGCUGGGCCAACCUCAGGAUAUCCCUUCCCUCCAUGUGCAGAUGGUGGAGGGAUGGGGGCUCAUCCAGGGACAGGAGGUCGCCCCCCGUGUCCUAGGUCUCCAGCUAGCCUGAGGAAGACAGGGGCUCUCUCUGGACUCGGUGAUGUGUUCUAGACAUUAGGGAACAAGAUGCACUGAAAAUGCCCUGCUUUGCCCAUCACCCCCCCCGCCCACGGCUGGCUCGAGCAGAGAGGUGCCUAGAGCCACUUCUGGAGAAUUCACCUGGCCCUGAGUCCUGUGGGCCCUCUGAGGAGCAGCCAUGAGCAGCAAACAAGGCCUCCAACUUAUGGCUCGCCUCGGCUGCGUCCUCAGUGUCAGACCACAGAGCAAGACGCAGGGCCCUUCCCUGACUCUGCUCCUCUCUUGAAUCCGGUUCCUCGCCCGCGAUUGGGAAUAACAAUACCUAACUCAUAGGCUCGCUAUGAGGACGAAACGGAGCACGGGUGACCAUGGCUGAUGCUAAGGAAGCUGUUUUGCAGGCUUUACACGUGUUACCACGUUAACCCUCACAACCAAUCUGUGAGGUAGGCAGUAUUUUUAUCACCAUCUCGCAGACCUGAGGCACAGAGGUUUGAGUCACAUGCCCAAGCUCACACAGUGUGUGAGAAGCAAGAGCUGGGAUUCCAGCCUGAGCGGUCUGGCUCUCCAGAGUCUGUGCUCUUAACCCAGAGGCUACACCGCCCGUCCAGGUGCCCCAUGCAAGUUGGCGAGUAUGACAUUAAAAUAAGCUCCCUCCUGAGGCGUGUGCGGGCUCUGUGCAUGGACUGUGUGGGCUGGAGAAGGCCUGAGAUGGAAGGCCGGUCUCUGGGCUGGAGUGGUCAGGGAUGGAUUCCUGGAGGAGGUGGCGUCCUGGGCAGAAGGGACACCCAGAAGUGGAGAACGUGGCGAGUGAUGACGGAAGGACAUGGAAGCCUCUCUGGCCAGAGAGCAGGGCAUUGUGGGAGAUGCCGACUACAAGGCUCAGGAGGUAGGGUAGAGCCUGUGGUCUGGAGAAUGAUCAGGAAGCAAGCCAGGAGGACUUGGGUCUGUGUAGGCGGGGCCUUUCUGAGGGCUGCCUCCUGCCAGGUGGCUUGUGACUUCUGGGCUGAGGCUGUUGUUGUUCUGUUUAUGUCCUUCCCUCCCCCCCCCCCCCCCCCCCCCCCCCCCCGAUUAUGUUCCUGACUUUAUCUGCAGAAGUGACCUUCGGAGUUAGAUGGGGCCUGCCCAGCCCCUGUGGGGCCUGAAGGAUGAUAGCAAGCCCCUGCCUGGCCCAGGCCCUGGUCAUGGUGUAAGGGGUGAACCCAUAUCCCAGGAACCACCCUGGGUCUCCCUGCACCCUUGUACUGAAGGGCCCCAGAUAUUUGCCUGAAAGUCACUGAGAUGUACCUUUUGGGAGUCCUGAGAUGCAGGCGAGGAAUCAGUUGUACAGGUUGCUCACUGCACAAAGUUGUACAGGUUGUACAACUGCAUACAGUUGUACAGGUUACUCACUGCACGAAGCUUCUCUGUGCAAGGAAGUGAGUCAGUGUAGAAAUCUAGUCCUUGUUCCACUUACCAAACCAAGUGCCUAUGGAAAUUUGUCUGCCCAGAGGACAGCACGUCUUAUUUAUUUUCAAAAAGGCUCCAUGAGAGCCCUGCCUCAGCUCAGCUUCCAGCCACUGACCUUGGGCAAGGUCAUUUUCCUCCCUGGCCUCGGUUUCCUAUUUGAAAAGUUGUCUAGCAUAAAGCAGCGAUUCAGCCCUGACAGUGAAUUAGAAUCACUUGGGACCUUUAAAAGAAUAUUGAUGCCCAGGACCCAUCACAGACCAAUGAUCAAAUCUUGGGAUUGGGGUGAGUGGGUGCUAGGCAUCAGUAUUUUUUAAAGUUCCUAAGUGAUUCUAGGGGCGCCUGGGUGGCUCAGUCAGUUAAGCGUCCAACUUCGGCUCAGGUCAUGAUCUCGCAGUUCAUGAGUUCGAGCCCUGUAUUGGGCUCUGUGUUGACAGCUUGGAGGCUGGAGCCUGCUUCGGAUUCUGUGUCUCCCUCUCUCUCUGCACACCUCCCCCCCACCCCACCCCCGCCUCGCUUGUUCUCUGUCUCUGUCUCUCUCUCUGUCUCUUUCUGUUUCUAUCUAAAAAAUAAAUACACAUUAAAAAAAAUUAAAAAAAAAAAAAAGAGAGAGAGAGGCCUAGUGGUGCACCCAUGGUCUGCAACUCACUAGUUGCAACUUCAGUGAGGCUCAGUUUCCUCAUCUGUAAAAUGGGAACGAUGAUAGCUUCCUGGUAGUCAGAAUGCCUACUCAGUGAGAAGAUAUUCAGAUAGCACCUGGCACUAUGGCUAGCAUGUAGAGACCUCCUGAUUCUUGGUACCAGUGAGCAUUAUUUUGCAGUUGGCAAACGAGAUUGGCUUGAAAUAAAGGGCCUUUCCAGGUCAAAGUCAGAGACUCAAAGGCAGGCUUUCUCUGUGACUUGUGUCAAGUCCUAGCACUUUGGUCUCAGUCCUGGCUAUACUCCUGUUAUAUUGUUGAGGUAUGUGUGAUUGUCAUUGCUACGUGAUAUUUUACCAAUUUGUUAAAAUUUUUAUUUAAAAUUUUUUUCUUAACGUUUCUUUAUUUUGAGAGACAAAGAAAGAAGAGCAAGUAGGGGAGAGGCAGAGAGGGAGAGAGAGAAUUCCAAGCCGACUCUGCACUGUCAGCGGAGAGGCCCGAACUCACAAACCGUGAGAUCAUGACCAGAGCCCAAAUCAAGAGUUGGACGCUUAACCAACUAAGCCACCCAGGCGCCCCAUGUUAAAAUUUUGUAAUUAAUUUUUGAAUCAGUACUUCAUUCACAUGGUUCAAAAAUCAAGGGGCGCCUGGGUGGCUCAGUCAGUUAAGCAUCUGACUUUGGUUGAGGUCAUGAUCUCACGGUUCCUGAGUUCAAGCCCCGCGUCGGGCUCUGCGCUGACAGCUCGGAGCCUGGAGCCUGCUUCAGAUUCUGUGUCUCCCUCUCUCUCUGCCCCUCCUCUGCUCAUGCUCUGUCUCUCUCUCAAAAAUUAACAUUAAAAAAUUUUUAAAUGAGAACAAUAAAAAAACUUGGAGAAGUCUUGGUCCCCUUCUCCCCACUGCCCACCAGUCCACUCCUUGUCCUCACCACAGGCCACGACUCCUCUCACUUCUUUACGCCUCUUCCUGGUUUGCUCCACGCAUACCAGAUCGGGUGUUAUCCCCUGUCCCUCCACUGCUCUGUACUUCGAGUUGAUGAUUUAAUGGCACAGCUGCAGCCGCUGAGAGCAAGGCUUGGAGGAAGGAAGGGUUGUUGCCCCCGCCUCACAGGGGAGGCAAGUGAGGCUCACCUUGCUGGGUCAACAGUGUUUUGAGCUGUCUCUACCUGGUUCCAGAGCCGUGUUUGUCCCCAGGCCCCAGUGUGGCCUUCCAGAAAACCUGACCCUGUGAGCUUUGGAGACUGACCUAAAUCUCUCUGCUGCUGGCCUGGCAGGAGGUGGGGUGGGGAUGGGCUGGUAGGGCCCCCACGGCGUCUGGACCCUGAAGACACAGAGAGGCUGAAGCGGGGAACAAAAAAUGUCCACAGUCAUCCAGAUGGUGACUCAGCCAGGGGAUGUCCCCUGGAUGGGACGGUUAGGGCCUGGCGGCCAUGUCCUCCGGUGGAGUGGAGCCUACCCGGAAGUCUCGGUCAGCCUCUGGGAGACAGGAAGGGUCAGGAGGAGGAGAGGGAGGGAGGGAAGGGGAGCGUGGCCAACGGGACAGCCCCGGGGGAAGAAGACUAGGGGGCCCCCUUUGUGGAGGUCAGGGAGGAGCAUUUGGACUUCAAGGCAAGGGGACGAUGUCAUCUUAAUCACUGCCUUCUGCUCAGGCGACCCCAGGGCUGCCUCUGGAUUGUCCACCGGCUCCAGUUCACUAACUCACUGACUGUGGGCAGUCACUUUCCUUCUCUGUGCCUCAAUUCCCCAAACUGCAAAAUGAAGGAGAUUGGGUAGCUGGUCUUUAGCUAAAAGACUCUGUAACGCUCCCCUCACCUUGUUGAGGGAAUCUGGAUCUGCCUUGAUCAGAAUGGCAUCCGCCUAUCAAAGACCCUGGGCCUUCCUGGGUUGGGGGCCAGGGGUCCAAGGCCUCUGCACUGCUCCAAAACCUGGACUUCUCCCCUGAGUCGUGUGUCUCUCUUCCGCCACCCCGUCCUCCUCUCCAGGUAGAUGUGGAGUCCGGACCAUACCUGGGAGGUGCUGGGGGAAGCCCUGGCCCCAGUCUGACAUCCUCCUCCUGGUGUUAUGGGAUCCCGCACAGUGAGCAACCUCUUCAUCCUGGGGGAGCCCCUGCUGCCACCCUGGCACCCAAGACCCUGUGAGGGCUGCGGGGCAGCGCUAAUCUCUUAAUACUGGUCACAAUGAGAUUUCAGGGAUGGUAGGAGGUGGUCUCCAUAGAAACCGUGGACCCGCCCAGGACCCAUGCAAGGAAUUAGCCACAGGGCUCAGCAAGGGGGUCCUGGAGACCCAACCCAAACAGGAACAGGAAGUACAGCAUCCUGGACUCCUGGGUCCUGCCUCCGCCCUCCCGUGGUUUCUCAGACGGCUGGCGACAAACCGUACCCCUUGUACUGCCUCAGUGUUCUCCUGUGAAACUGGACGGAGCCACAUUCACAGGGACAGCUCCGUUACCUUUCUGAGCCUCAGUUUCUUCAUCCUCCAAUUGGGGUUCCAAUCCCUAACCCGGGGGCUUUUUGAGAACAGUGCAGGCUUCAGAGUCUGUCAGACAUGAGUCUGAAGCUCAGCUUUUGCCACUCAUUUGGCAGGCCAAGCAUUUCACUUCUCUCACUUUGCUCAUCAAUACAAUGGGCACAGCGAUACCAACCUAGCAUCACUGUUGUAGCUGACUGCUGGGUACGGAUACUCAGUGGACGAGUCUCCUCCUCUGCUCUCUCUGAUUGCCCCACCCAUACUGCACAUCGGUCCCCCACCCCUAGCCACUCGCCUCUUUCAAAUCCCACAGCCUCCGCCUUGGCUCUGGCCUUUGCACAUGCCAGGCCUUCUGCCCAAAGCUGCUGUCACACCUUUCUAUUCUCCCCUUCCCCCUCCAAGCUCCAUCUUGGACUCCUCCUCUGGGCAGCCCUCCUGGUUCCUCCUUUGUGCUCACCUGGCCCCCAACACUUUACACCAUCACAGUGUAGUCAAAUGGUGGUUGCUGCUUGCGUCUCUGCCUCCCCCAUUGGACUGUGUCCCAUUUACUGUUAAAUUCCCAGGACCCAGCUGGAACUUAAUAUAAUGGGGUGGAUGGACAAAUGAGUGAAUGAACGAAGGAUUCUAUCCAUCCAAUCAUUUAACCUUUAUUCAGCAUUUUCCACGUGCACCACUGCAGGUGUGGGAUACAGCUGUGAAGGCAAGAGGCAAGAUUCCUCCCCCACAGACUUGCAGGGUGCCCAGGUACAUUUAAGAUAAACAUCGAAUAAUGUUUUAAUAUAAAUAUGUACCAAAUAACGCAGGAAGCAUACUUACACUUAAAAAGUAAGUUGUUGUUUAUCUCAAAUUCCAAUGUAACUGGGCAUUCUUUGGCAUGUCUGGCCCUCCCUAUUCCCUCUCUCACAGAGCUUACAUUUUGAUGGGGAGGUGUGAUGCAGAGACAGUAAGCAAGCAGAUAAAUGUUUCAAAAGAGAAUGUCAGGGGCGUUUAGGUGGUUCAGUUGGUUUAGCUUCCAACUUUGGCUCAGCACAGAGCCCACAUCUGAAAGUCUGUACCCCCCCUCCCCCCCGACCAGCCUCUCUGCUCCUCCCCCACUCGCACGUGCAUUCUCUCAAAAAAUUUUAAAAAAAAUUGAAAGAGAAUUUCAAAUACUGACGAAGUGCAAUGGCAAGACGAAACUGCAGGUUGUGCUAGCGCCUGGGGAUGACAGGGGGUGUCUUUGGAGAGGGUGAUCUCCCUAGUGGCCCUGACCUACGUGGCACAGUUCUAAAUCCCAAAGAGAUGCUCCUUUCGUAAAGUCCUUUAAGGAUUUUAAAGGGCUUGGUGGAGGCUAUUCAACUUGAGAGAAGGACUCCGAGGCGGGCAGAGGGCGCCUUGGAGGGAGGGGAGCUGCCCUGUCUCCUUUGACAGACUCCACAAUUUUGCGUUUUGGAUCUGGGCCUUCACAAACCUUCACCAACUCUCUGCCCCACCCCUCGGUCAGCCAAUGUCCUCUGCGGGGCUGGGAGCCAGAGGAAGGGGCCAAAGGGGCUGUGCAGAGAAGCGUGGCCACCCGGGCCAGAACUGGGAGUUCUAACUCCGUCCCCCACACCCCCACCCCAGUCCCGCGGUUGCCUGAGGGCACAGGGCAGAACCAGCUGUCGCUGCAGAACCGGAGGGCUUCGGGGAGGAAGCGGCUCAGACACGCCGAAGAGCCUCGCUUUGCGCAUCCCGGGCUCCCCCUAGUGGCCAAUGCUGGAUUGGCGCUGAGAAACUUUCAAAUAACCGCACAGGUUUAACCAAUCACAGCGGAAGUAGCAUUACAAUCCCACCAAUCACAGGCCAAGACGGACUAAUCUCUCCAAACCCAGAGGGAAGGCAGCUCGACCGGUUCACCAGUCACCGCUCUCUGGGUUUAGUCACCGAGCAAGCUAACAGCCCCGCAUUGACACACCAGCCCUUGGCCACUGCACCAAUAAGAAAGCAAGAUUUUAAAACUUGCUCCCCAAGGCUGGUCUGGCGCUGCCCUUACAUCAUCUAUGAAAUUUAUAUUCCCGACACUUGGUCCCACGUGCCCGCGCCGUUGAGUAGGGUGCCAGACCUCGUGCUGGCUCCACUGAUAGUGUAUAUUUGCAUUCAGGGGCAUUUAUGUAUUUUCACAUUUAAAGAUAGUAAUGGCAUUAAAUAUCAUCCCCCCCAUUAUAGAAAUUAAGGUAUGGGUCUGGGGAGAGUGGAGAAGGUAGGACCUUGGGAGUAGACACACCAGAACUGGAGUUCAGUUACUAGGUUAGUGAAGGACAAUUCACUCCCCCUUCCUCAUUCCUUGAAAGAGAACAAUAGUAAUCACACCUGCAUUGUCAUAGUCCAUCACCCCACACCCUGGGAGUCACUAUCUUUGUGUUCCUCUCUCCCAAAUCAUCAGAAAAUCCAGUGCUUGCCACCUUUAACAGUAACUCAGAUUUUCACCAUCUUUCCACCUGCACCACAGUCAACCUCGUCCACAUCAGUAUCAUCUCUGGAGGUCUGCGAAAGUCUCUUCACUUCUUUUCUCCCUACCACGCACUCUUGCGGGGGGGGGGAAUGAUUCUUUACACACAGACUGCAUCAGGCCCCCCCAUACUGAAACUUUAAUGGCUUCCUACGCAUUUAUAAUUAAACUCAUAAAAUUCAAAACUCCCGUGGACCUUGUGUGUCUAUCCCUGCAUCCCCAGCCUCCAUUUCAUUCCAUUCUCCCUAGUCCCGUGGCUGCAGCCACACCAGCCUUUUGUGUCUGGCUCAGCGUCUUUGCACAUUCUUUUUUUCUUUGCCCGGAAAAUGGUUCCUUGGGCCCUAUCUUUGAAUUCCUCUCCUUUCCAAUUACCCUUCUCUGGGUAUCUUUUCAAAGCAGUGACAAAUCCUAUCUCAGCCGAAGCCCAAACUGCUGUGUCCAGCUUCAGGGAACAAACAAACCUGACCACAGAGUUCAGCCGCAACUCUACGAAAAGCCUGCAACCAAAAGGCAUCCCGAGUUGCUGCCGGGGAGCAGCACUAGCUUAACAGAAUGGUGCGGUCAGACGGUCUUAUCCUUGGCGGACCAGAGCCCUUCUCUGAGAACAGGUGCUGAAGGCCCCUUGGUGGGGCUGGUCAUCGUGGUCAGAGACAGACUCAGUCUCCUUUCCUAGACCCACCUUUCAGAUUGCUUUACUCACUAUCUGCCAGCUGUUCUCAACUGUUCCUCCUCUCUCGUUUCAGGCGCAUGACCGGAUUACUCUUUCUUGCUUCCUUUGAAGUUAGAUGUGACCAUGUGACUUGUUCUGGCCAAUGAAAUGAGAGCAGAAACAACUGGUGCAUCACACCCGGGCAGAAGCUUGAAGGGCCCGCGCAGCUGGGGCUGUUUCAGAAGCACGUACGGAAAUGGAGUCAUCAGGGUGGGGAGUGCACCCCACAAGCCCCUGAUGGACAAGUACUGUAAGUGAGCCAUCGGCUCAGCUGUGUAAGCCACUGGGACUUAGGGCCUUUUUGUCAUUACAGCACAGCCUCACCUAACUUGACUGCACAGGAUCUUUCCAAAGGUCACUGAUUUUCCUCUGGCCCUUAUGAUUUUUGUUGUAUUUGGAAACCUCCCAUACUAAUACUAAACAUUUUUCUUACAUCGACACACUUAUUUUUAUUUAGAUUUAUUUUAGAAGGAAAUGUUAUUACUACCAAGUGAAACACCAGUAUCUUAAGUAGAAAGCGAUGGGAAAAUAAAUGGAAUGAUAUAAACUAUUAUAACAUAUCCUGAAUUAAAUAAUACUGUUGUGGGUGAAAGCCUCUGAGCCCUUAGUCUGUUCUUUA